RNAcentral lists this ribosomal RNA (264 nucleotides) under uncultured bacterium. RNAcentral's name for it is "partial 16S ribosomal RNA". It matches the Rfam family "Bacterial small subunit ribosomal RNA", at positions 90 to 354 of the family's 1533-position model. The record is from RNAcentral.
UCUUAGUGGCGGACGGGUGAGUAACGCGUGGGGAACCUGCCCUGUACAGGGGGAUAACACUUAGAAAUAGGUGCUAAUACCGCAUAAGCGCACGGUUCCGCAUGGAACAGUGUGAAAAACUCCGGUGGUAUACGAUGGAUCCGCGUCUGAUUAGCCAGUUGGCGGGGUAACGGCCCACCAAAGCGACGAUCAGUAGCCGGCCUGAGAGGGUGAACGGCCACAUUGGGACUGAGACACGGCCCAAACUCCUACGGGAGGCAGCAG